AUACGGAGGGUGCAAGCGUUACUCGGAAUCACUGGGCGUAAAGCGCGCGCAGGCGGCUUGAUAAGUUGGAUGUGAAAGCCUACGGCUCAACCGUAGAACUGCAUCCAAAACUGUCAAGCUAGAGUCUGGGAGGGGAAGAUGGAAUUAGCUGUGUAGGGGUAAAAUCCGUAGAGAUAACUAGGAAUACCAAAAGCGAAGGCGAUCUUCUGGAACAGUACUGACGCUGAGGCGCGAAAGCGUGGGGAGCAAACAGGAUUAGAAACCCCGGUAGUCC
This 274-nucleotide ribosomal RNA is filed under the name uncultured bacterium. Its description in RNAcentral is "partial 16S ribosomal RNA". It matches the Rfam family "Bacterial small subunit ribosomal RNA", at positions 523 to 796 of the family's 1533-position model. The record is from RNAcentral.